Molecule: ribosomal RNA, 1420 nt
Filed under: Lentzea sp. YM-11
Lineage: Bacteria; Bacillati; Actinomycetota; Actinomycetes; Pseudonocardiales; Pseudonocardiaceae
Description: 16S ribosomal RNA
Rfam family: Bacterial small subunit ribosomal RNA
Source: RNAcentral
GGCGUGCUUAACACAUGCAAGUCGAGCGGUAAGGCCCUUCGGGGUACACGAGCGGCGAACGGGUGAGUAACACGUGGGUAACCUGCCCUGUACUCUGGGAUAAGCCUUGGAAACGAGGUCUAAUACCGGAUACGACCACUGAUCGCAUGAUCGGUGGUGGAAAGUUCCGGCGGUACAGGAUGGACCCGCGGCCUAUCAGCUUGUUGGUGGGGUAAUGGCCUACCAAGGCGACGACGGGUAGCCGGCCUGAGAGGGUGACCGGCCACACUGGGACUGAGACACGGCCCAGACUCCUACGGGAGGCAGCAGUGGGGAAUAUUGCACAAUGGGCGAAAGCCUGAUGCAGCGACGCCGCGUGAGGGAUGACGGCCUUCGGGUUGUAAACCUCUUUCAGCAGGGACGAAGCGCAAGUGACGGUACCUGCAGAAGAAGCACCGGCUAACUACGUGCCAGCAGCCGCGGUAAUACGUAGGGUGCGAGCGUUGUCCGGAAUUAUUGGGCGUAAAGAGCUCGUAGGCGGUUUGUCGCGUCGGCCGUGAAAACUUGGGGCUUAACUCCAAGCUUGCGGUCGAUACGGGCAGACUUGAGUUCGGCAGGGGAGACUGGAAUUCCUGGUGUAGCGGUGAAAUGCGCAGAUAUCAGGAGGAACACCGGUGGCGAAGGCGGGUCUCUGGGCCGACACUGACGCUGAGGAGCGAAAGCGUGGGGAGCGAACAGGAUUAGAUACCCUGGUAGUCCACGCCGUAAACGGUGGGUGCUAGGUGUGGGGGGCUUCCACGCCCUCUGUGCCGCAGCUAACGCAUUAAGCACCCCGCCUGGGGAGUACGGCCGCAAGGCUAAAACUCAAAGGAAUUGACGGGGGCCCGCACAAGCGGCGGAGCAUGUGGAUUAAUUCGAUGCAACGCGAAGAACCUUACCUGGGCUUGACAUGGACUAGAAAGCUCUAGAGAUAGAGCCUCCCUUGUGGCUGGUUCACAGGUGGUGCAUGGCUGUCGUCAGCUCGUGUCGUGAUCGUGUCGUGAGAUGUUGGGUUAAGUCCCGCAACGAGCGCAACCCUCGUUCCAUGUUGCCAGCACGUAAUGGUGGGGACUCAUGGGAGACUGCCGGGGUCAACUCGGAGGAAGGUGGGGAUGACGUCAAGUCAUCAUGCCCCUUAUGUCCAGGGCUUCACACAUGCUACAAUGGCCGGUACAAAGGGCUGCUAAGCCGUGAGGUGGAGCGAAUCCCAUAAAGCCGGUCUCAGUUCGGAUCGGGGUCUGCAACUCGACCCCGUGAAGUCGGAGUCGCUAGUAAUCGCAGAUCAGCAACGCUGCGGUGAAUACGUUCCCGGGCCUUGUACACACCGCCCGUCACGUCACGAAAGUCGGUAACACCCGAAGCCCGUGGCUCAACCCGCAAGGGGGAGACCGGUCAAAGGUGG